UCGUAUAAAAUGGAGGUGCUGGGGCUGUCGCUGACCUUUGAAAAAGGUCGUGCACGCCCGGAGCACUCUCUCAUAUCCAUCUCACCCCUUUGUGCAUUGCCGCGUGGGUCCCCCUUUGCGGGGAGGGCUUGCGUUUUCACAUAAAACUCGAUACGGUGUAGAAUGUUUCUUUUGCGGUCACACGCAAUCAAUA
Molecule: unclassified non-coding RNA, 193 nt
Filed under: uncultured Russulaceae
Lineage: Eukaryota; Fungi; Basidiomycota; Agaricomycetes; Russulales; Russulaceae
Description: sequence contains ITS1
Source: RNAcentral